CGAGUAAUAUUAGACAUAUCGAG
This 23-nucleotide microRNA is filed under the name Strongyloides ratti. RNAcentral's name for it is "str-miR-50-3p". Its record names the gene str-miR-50-3p. The record is from miRBase by way of RNAcentral. Lineage: Eukaryota; Metazoa; Nematoda; Chromadorea; Rhabditida; Strongyloididae.